GAUGAACGCUGGCGGCGUGCUUAACACAUGCAAGUCGAACGGUGAAGCCAAGCUUGCUUGGUGGAUCAGUGGCGAACGGGUGAGUAACACGUGAGCAACCUGCCCUGGACUCUGGGAUAAGCGCUGGAAACGGCGUCUAAUACUGGAUAUGAGCUUCCACCGCAUGGUGGGGGUUGGAAAGAUUUUUUGGUCUGGGAUGGGCUCGCGGCCUAUCAGCUUGUUGGUGAGGUAAUGGCUCACCAAGGCGUCGACGGGUAGCCGGCCUGAGAGGGUGACCGGCCACACUGGGACUGAGACACGGCCCAGACUCCUACGGGAGGCAGCAGUGGGAAUAUUGCACAAUGGGCGAAAGCCUGAUGCAGCAACGCCGCGUGAGGGAUGACGGCCUUCGGGUUGUAAACCUCUUUUAGCAGGGAAGAAGCGAAAGUGACGGUACCUGCAGAAAAAGCGCCGGCUAACUACGUGCCAGCAGCCGCAGUAA
RNAcentral lists this ribosomal RNA (481 nucleotides) under uncultured bacterium. RNAcentral's name for it is "partial 16S ribosomal RNA". It matches the Rfam family "Bacterial small subunit ribosomal RNA", at positions 28 to 523 of the family's 1533-position model. The record is from RNAcentral.